Molecule: long non-coding RNA, 306 nt
Organism: Rosa chinensis
Lineage: Eukaryota; Viridiplantae; Streptophyta; Magnoliopsida; Rosales; Rosaceae
Exons: 3
Source: RefSeq, a predicted model, not a curated record
UUUCAAAGGAGGAGCUGGACUCGGAGUCAGAGAGUGAGGUGGUUGAGCCGACUAAUGAAGAUUUGAAAUUGUAUCUGAUGCUUCAAGGCUUUCCAAAGAGCAAAACAUGAGCAUGAGGCAUUAAAGAGGCAGCUUGAAACUUAUUUCCAGUUGAGAAGACAAGCUGGAAUGGCACAAAGGUCUUGAAUGCCACAUAGAUUGGCGAUUGCAUGAGGUGCCCAUAUAAUAGGGAGAAACUAGUUGAGAACUAUGUAUUUUGUCAAUCUCGUGAACUCCUAGCUACGUAAUAUUUGUUUUACUAUAGUA